CUUUCUUUGUGUUCACUGACUACAUGAGAGGUGCCAUGAGAAUCUCGGCUCUGUCUGAAGCUGGUGUUAUCUAUGUUAUGACCCAUGAUUCUAUUGGUCUUGGAGAGGAUGGACCAACCCAUCAGCCCAUUGAGCACAUUGCAAGUUUCCGUGCAAUGCCCAACACUCUUAUGUUCCGUCCUGCUGAUGGCAACGAAACAGCUGGUGCAUACAAGAUCGCUGUCACCAAGCGUAAGACACCAUCUAUCCUAGCUCUGUCUAGGCAAAAGCUGCCUCAUCUUCCAGGUACAUCCAUUGAAGGAGUUGAAAAGGGAGGAUAUACAAUUUCGGACGACUCUGCAGGCAACAAACCCGAUGUGAUUUUGAUUGGAACUGGAUCUGAGCUAGAGAUUGCUGCACAGGCUGCGGAGGUGCUUAGGAAAGAAGGCAAAACCGUUAGAGUUGUAUCUUUCGUGUGCUGGGAGCUAUUUGACGAGCAAUCAGAUGAAUACAAGGAGAGUGUGUUGC
This 507-nucleotide long non-coding RNA is filed under the name Capsella grandiflora. RNAcentral describes it as "long non-coding RNA (CGRA_LNC001432)". The record is from RNAcentral. Lineage: Eukaryota; Viridiplantae; Streptophyta; Magnoliopsida; Brassicales; Brassicaceae.